UUGAUCGAUAAACUGAUGCGUGGUCAC
This 27-nucleotide non-coding RNA is filed under the name Bombyx mori (domestic silkworm). Lineage: Eukaryota; Metazoa; Arthropoda; Insecta; Lepidoptera; Bombycidae. The record is from RNAcentral.